AUAUAUUACAGUACCAUCUCGGCCCAAUCUCAAUCUCGAAUAAAAUUUAAUUAGGGCCUAAUUAUAAUACACCACAUUUGUAAUAUGGGCUACCGGUUUAUAUUCUCUUAAGUAAACAAUUAUAUCAUUUCUAAAAUAAUACGUCCAUUGGGGCCCAAUUAAAAUACGUAAAUCCAUAAAUCCUACAACUGCGGAGUUCAACAAAUAUUUCAAAGGUGGAAUAGUUUAUACAUUUGAUAAUACAAUUGAACUAUUAAUAACAUUGAUGAAUUUACUUUUGUGGCUCUGCGAGAAAGAUUGCAGAGCUCCAAUCAAAUCAGCAGCUUCCCACUACCUGAGAAGUUGGGAUAGAUAGAGGGAUGAGUUUUGCAACUCAGUGAAUAAUAAUAAAUAAUACACACCACAGACAUUCACGCGAAAUGCACUCUAACAUACUGAAUGAUCACACAACCAGUCAAUCAUAUGGCCCAGUAUUAGCACCCACAAAUAAUAUCACCUUCAAAUAAUCAAGCAAGUGGAAAUUAGUCAGUGGCGCCACCUGAAACCCCAACAAGCCGUCCUCUCACAUAGCCCUUCCUCUCAAACGUGUGCACCAGGGAGCCGAUCCUCAUACCUACCCGACUAGUCUAAUCCUCACUUGACCAGCUCUCUCAUUAUUUUUCCAAUCUCUCUUUUCUUUUUCCAUAUUAUGCAUAUAAUGUAAUCAGAUGCACACGGGGGCGCCGAUCUCCCAUACCCGGCCGACGAUCAAAUUCCAUAAUUCCAUAAUUUCAUUCAAGAUCCAUAUCACAUAGACCGUCCUUGCAAAUCCCUGGUAACCACCCACUUUAUCCUAAUUCCACACAAACAAAGCACAGCAUAUUCACAGUACAAUUAAUCAAACAAUUCAAUCAACAUAUUAUGCCAAAUCCACUUCAAUGCACAAUCAUAAAAAUAUAAUUAUACGUGAUAGUUACAUAAUAUAUUUAUAAGAUUCGCAUAAUAAUAAUAAUAUAGUAAUAGUAUAUAAUAAUAUAAAUAAAUAGUAUAUAAAUAUAUAAUAUUUAUAAAAUAAAUAUUAUGUCAAUGCAGUACUGAUAUGUAUUAUUUAUUAUUACUCACAGUGGUAGGAACUGAAUCUCUAACUCUGAUUCUGACCGGAUGGAACAAUAAAUGGACCCGGAUAAUCUAAGAAAUUUAAGAAUGACACCGAAAAAGAAUUAUAUCAUAUAAAAUAUUUAUUAGAUGUUCUAAUAAUUUACCUACAUAUUUAAUUUCUAUAAAAAAUUUAAUUUCUACCGAAAUUUCGACAACACUUUCCUUAAAAAUUAACUAUUCCUUAAAAAUUAACUAUCCACCAAUCAAGUCAUUCAAUUAUUUUCAGGUUCUCACAGCCCAUCUAUCAGCAAUCGACCAAGUCAUUUAUUCCCAUCCUCCAUAUUCUCCGUAUCAACAAUAUCUUAUUAAUUUUUAUUUAAUUCCACAAAUCAUAAUUUCCUAAUAAUUUAUUUAAUUUUAAUUAAUCAAGUAAUUUUAAUUAAUCAAUAAUUCAAUACCUAAUUUUAAUUUAAAUUAGUUAACCCAAAAUUACUAAAAUAAAUUCUGAGAAUCAGCAAAAAUUGAUUUAUACCCCAAAAAUAAUUUUUCUUGUCGGAUUUCGCUAGAUCGAGAUUUACGCGUGCCGGAUCGCGCACUGGGACCGCAAGCGGGUGGCCGGAGUCGGGCUGGAGUGGCUGGACCACCUGGAACUGGCGCGAAAGAGGGAGGAGAUCGACUAUGGCGUGGCGGCAGAGGGUUGGUAGUGGCGUAUUGGGCUGGAGGACGACUGGGACUGCGCUACCUGGUCGAGGAUGGAGCAGAGUCACUGGCGGAGCUGCUGCGACGUCGAGCUGCAGCAAGGUGGCGCGGGAGGAGUUCCGAUCUAGCUGGUGUCGCCGCUGCUGCUUGGAGCUUCGCCAGUCACAGAUGCAGAAGCGGACACAGACGCAGGCGCAGGGAGAAGAAAGAAGAAAGAAGGAAAAAGAAAGAAAGAGGAGGAGGAGGUGGAGCUGUGGCAAUGUCGGUGGUGCUGCGUGGGUGGUCGGGAGGCGCAAGGCUUGGGGAGUGAGGUGAGUUGAGCGUUAAAGAUAAAGGAAAGAAGAGGUUCUAGAUGGUUUGGGCUGAUUCGGUUCGAUUCCGGUUCGAUUCAGCCCAAAUCUCGAUUUUUUUUUCAAUUGGUUUUCGAUUAGGUUUAUCACUGAACAAAUUAUUAAUUUGCAUUUAACUAAUUAAGUAAAUUUUCUGGUGUGUCGGUUUAUUAAGUUUAAAUGAAAAUCUUUGAAAAUAAAAAUUUGGAUUAUUUCAAAUAUGCAUAAAUCAGAUGUUACAUGCACUUAGCAAAUUGAAUGGUUAGAUUAUGUUAUAACUGCAUUCUUG
Molecule: long non-coding RNA, 2394 nt
Filed under: Jatropha curcas
Lineage: Eukaryota; Viridiplantae; Streptophyta; Magnoliopsida; Malpighiales; Euphorbiaceae
Description: long non-coding RNA (JCUR_LNC001078)
Source: RNAcentral